UAAGUAAAAUGGGUAAUUCACGUUGGUCCUGUUUUCAAAAAUCUGAUUCCAACAGGGUGUGUAUCCUACAGGAGUUCUCAGAUAGCUCGAAUAAAGCCAAGUCAGAGUAUUGGAACAGGAUCUACAAGAUCCACCCCUGUGCUGAGAUUACCACAUAGUUCUUGUCCAUCAUCGUCUGGAUCCCAAAGCAGUCUAAGGGGAUCAUGGGCUAAUUCUGAUUUCAGAACCCCUCAGCUGUAUCCAUUUACAUCACCUUCCCCACAGCUGCCUUUGUCCAGGCAGCCAAUCACCAUCUCUGGACUUCUGCAAAGACAACAAGGAUCAACUAAUUUAGGAGGACGUUCAGCAGACAGAUGAGCUAACAUCUCUGAAUUGUUUUGGUUAAGAAGCAUCUGGAGAAGCACUGCAUAGUCUCUGGAUAUCCAAGUAUUUGUAACUUCCCCAAUAUGUCAAAUUGGCAUAAACCAGCAAAUUGUUCAGCAUGAAUACUGUAUUUAAAACAUCACUGAUCUUUCUGAUUUACUGAAGUUUUAGAUGGGAGUGCAAAAUUCUCUUGUUUUUCAAAAUUCUGGCUUCAAAUAUAUUGCAUAAAUAAAUCCUUCAUUACCUAAGUGUUAAGGCA
Molecule: long non-coding RNA, 622 nt
Filed under: Serinus canaria (Common canary)
Lineage: Eukaryota; Metazoa; Chordata; Aves; Passeriformes; Fringillidae
Description: lncRNA (ENSSCAG00000014974.1)
Source: RNAcentral